AUGCCCCUUGCAAAAGAUCUCCUGCAUCCCUUUCCAGAAGAGAGGAAGAGGAAACAGAAGAAGUGCCUGGUGCGGAGCCCCAGUUCCCACUUCAUGAUGUGAAACGCCCAGAAUGCUAUAAAAUCACAUUUGUUAGCCAUGCACAAACAGUAGUUUUGUGUGAUGGCUUCUCCACCGUCCUCUGCCAGCCCACAGGAGGAGAAGCAAGACUUCCAGAAGCCUGAUCCCUCAGGAGGAAGCAGCA
Molecule: long non-coding RNA, 244 nt
Filed under: Homo sapiens (human)
Lineage: Eukaryota; Metazoa; Chordata; Mammalia; Primates; Hominidae
Description: non-protein coding lnc-PSEN2-3:1
Source: RNAcentral